GUAAACAGAUGGAACUCAAAGAGA
Molecule: non-coding RNA, 24 nt
Filed under: Arabidopsis thaliana (thale cress)
Lineage: Eukaryota; Viridiplantae; Streptophyta; Magnoliopsida; Brassicales; Brassicaceae
Source: RNAcentral